Molecule: long non-coding RNA, 2348 nt
Organism: Pseudopipra pipra
Lineage: Eukaryota; Metazoa; Chordata; Aves; Passeriformes; Pipridae
Exons: 3
Source: RefSeq, a predicted model, not a curated record
CUCUCCCUUUCUUUCAUUUAAUGGGACUUCUCAAGCUAUUCCUGCUUUAUUAAAGCAUCAGCUUUGGUAUCCAAAGAAGCAGAGCUGUAUAUGGCAAUGAAGAGGAUUACACUCACAUGCAGGGUUUUUAAAUUUAAUAACUUGGUGUUGGUAAGCUGCUUUUAUAAUUGGUUAUCUCUUUUUCUUUUCCUUAGGAGCCUUGCAUAUUUUGGGAUUUCCUGAUCAUCUCAACUGCAGUUUGGCAUUUUUUCACCAGUGUUAUCCAGUCCUCAGGUGAAGCUGCUCUGUGUUGAAGAUGCUACAGACACCCAGGAUUGCAAGUAGUCAGUGGGGGGUUACAGCCCAGAGAUGGAGUGAGGGCUGGGGUGCCAGCUUAGGAAUUGCUAGGGGUUUUUUGAAGGUAGUAUGGGUGGAAAGCAGUGUCCAGGAGCCCCCUAAAUGCCUGUGAAGGCACCCACUGACUUUUCAGAUGUGCCACUUAAGUUUUCCUCUCAUUCACCCAGAUAUUCUGUGCGAUUACAGCUGCAGUCUUUGGCUGCAGGCAGUGACCCUGGGUGGUUUGCCUAAAGAGAAGGGAGACUCUUUGAGCUCUCCCCAUCUAUCUGGGUGACUUUGGUUAGGGUUUCUUUACCAUGUCAGAGGGGCAGGGUGUAAAGCAGAGUUGAACAGAACAGAGGCCAGAGGAGCAGAGCAAGAAGGUGGGUCAUCACCUGACAUCAGCACAAAGAUGUGGCUUUUAGCUCCACGUUUACUUGUGUGUUAAGGAUUUUGUUGUUUGGGUUUGUUUUUUCUUUGUUUUCAGCUGCAGAGCCCUGGGCCCAGGAGGCUCUAGGCACCGGAGGGGAGGUGAUCCAGGUGAGUACCUGUGAGCAAGGGGUUCUGCCACCUUCUAACAGACAGUCCAGUGCUUCAGGGCCCGUGCUGGUAAGAGGUCACUGUGGAGGAGAGGUAGGUAGGAGCUACCCCAGGAAAGCCAUCCUUUCAGGCAGUACCUCAGUCUGUACAUUUGCCUUUGGCUUUUUUACUUUGCAGAGAAUGUGUGCAGCCUGAGAGGGCCAGAGCCACCUGCCAGUUAGGUUUGAUGGUCUUCAUCUGUCCUUGUGAGUAAUCUCCUAGUACUACGAGGGUCAUCAAUUCAGGCUGGACCUUUUCCAGCUGCAGGUGCCAUCCAGCCUGCCUUUGGCAAAGGAGGAGCAUUGAGGUUGAGUUGGGGAGGUAGGGAGUAGGUGCUGGGGUCUCCCUUACUUUCAGAAACACCCCAUAACUUUUUUUCUCACUCCCCCAGGUACGGCACACGGUGACGGCAGCAGCCUCCGACUGGGGUCAGAGCCAGUGGCCCGAGAACCUCUCAGCUCAGGGGAGGCAACCGAGUCAGGGAUCACAGGACCCUCUGAGCCAGCCGGGCGUCCUUCCUUCACAUUGAAGAUGGAUUCACAUCCCCAGCUGUGGGAAAGAUAAGUGGAGGACUCCCACCUGGAGAGGGGAUGAGAGCUGGGUCCAGUUUUAUGUUUAGGAGGGAGGGAUUUUCAGAUGAGCACAGGAGAAAGGGUCUGCCCUAACAGGCCCUUGACACACAUAGGAGGAGCAGUUUACUUUUCAUCAUGGAGUAGGAUGUGCAGGGCAGAGCUGUUCAGGUCUGUGUCGUGUCCUUUGUCCAGUCUGUGUUUCGUGUCUUACUAUUCACAGUCACCACAUCUUUGCUUUCUGUCCUCAAAGUUCUUAUCUGAGGCAUCAUUCCUAGGGUCUUGAACCUCUGCACUGCCCAGCCCAGUGCCCAUACCAUCCGUUCUUUGGCUCACUAGCUUGGAUGUGCGUCAGAAUCGCAUCUGAGAAGUGUCAGGUCAGGUGUCUUUUACAGCCUCCUUACAGGUUGUAUCAGUGGCUGUGCCGUGCAGUCAUCUCUUGUAACCGCCUGGGAUUUCUGAGAGUUUAAGAAGAUUCUGAACAUAGCCUUGUCUCCCAUCCAUCUUAGCAAUUUUGUAGGCAGUUCUUGCCCCAGGCCAUUCUGUUAGAGUGUCUUUUCAGGCUCCUCAGAGCCUCCUCCGUUCAGUCUCGCCGUAUCCUCCGUCUUCUCGUGCGGCAGCACAUCCAUUUUGGCAUCGUUCCUUUCUCAGAGUUCUCUCUCCUGGUUGCACCACAGCACUUGUCUGGAAAUGUGUCCUUGGAGUUUGUGUUGGGCCUGGAACUGCUCUGCCCUGCAGUGUAGAGUUGGGGGUAGGUGGAGUAGAAAGGAGACUUCCCAGUUACCCUGUGAUAGGCUCAGGCACUGAGGGCAGGGCCUUAAAGUGAGGUCAGUGUUUGUUUGUGCAGGUUGUCUUUGGACCCCAGAGGGCUUGUCUAAGGAGAAA